UCGUUCCGGCGAUAGUAUGGGUGCUACGAUGGUGGCUCGGUAACAAAAGGGUGUGUUUCCAGCGGUGCAGUUUCUCCGAGAUUUUUCUUCCUCUUCUUUUUGUUUUUAUUUUGCUUUGCCCGCAACGUGUUUGAUGAAAGUUUUGAACAAGUUUUUCUUUCUUUCAUGAUAUCUAAAAUUGGGUGAUGCUGAUGAUGAUUGGAGAAAGCGAGGUUCCGCUGAUUGUGG
This 228-nucleotide long non-coding RNA is filed under the name Lathyrus oleraceus (garden pea). Its description in RNAcentral is "Pisum sativum (pea) long non-coding RNA (PSAT_LNC011313)". The record is from RNAcentral. Lineage: Eukaryota; Viridiplantae; Streptophyta; Magnoliopsida; Fabales; Fabaceae.